GCCCUCAUAGUUCAACGGAUAGAACGUGAGCUUCCGGAGCUCAAGAUGUGGGUUCGAUUCCUGCUGAGGGCACAA
This 75-nucleotide transfer RNA is filed under the name Candidatus Jorgensenbacteria bacterium. RNAcentral's name for it is "tRNA-Arg". It matches the Rfam family "tRNA". From Rfam's summary of the family: Transfer RNA (tRNA) molecules are approximately 80 nucleotides in length. Their secondary structure includes four short double-helical elements and three loops (D, anti-codon, and T loops). Lineage: Bacteria; Candidatus Joergenseniibacteriota. The record is from RNAcentral.